CUCCGAUCUUUUUUUUGAAGACCCACUUCAUCCUAUUGGGGUCACACCCUCAGGUGCAUCAACCAAGGUCCACACUUGGUUAGUGUACAUCGAGUCCAUCUCAGAUUUCAUGGCUUUCAGCCAUCUGUCUGAUUCUCUACUCAUGACAGCUUUCGAAUAGGUCAGUAGAUCAUCAUCCUGAAUGAUGUUGAUCAUAUUGUUAUCAAAUCUCAGAGGUGCAUGAUGCACUCU
RNAcentral lists this long non-coding RNA (231 nucleotides) under Elaeis guineensis (African oil palm). RNAcentral's name for it is "long non-coding RNA (EGUI_LNC062072)". The record is from RNAcentral. Lineage: Eukaryota; Viridiplantae; Streptophyta; Magnoliopsida; Arecales; Arecaceae.